RNAcentral lists this ribosomal RNA (433 nucleotides) under uncultured bacterium. Its description in RNAcentral is "partial 16S ribosomal RNA". It matches the Rfam family "Bacterial small subunit ribosomal RNA", at positions 29 to 507 of the family's 1533-position model. The record is from RNAcentral.
AACGAACGCUGGCGGCAUGCCUAACACAUGCAAGUCGAACGAGACCUUCGGGUCUAGUUGCGCACGUGUGCGUAACGCGUGGGAACCUGCCCUUAGGUUCGGAAUCACUCCCCUAAAGGUGUGCUAAUACCGGUUAAUGUCUUCGGACCAAAGAUUUCUGGCCUUGGGGUGGGCCCGGGUUGGAUUCGCUAGUUGGUAGGGUAAAAGCCUACCAAGGCGACGUUCCAUAGCUGGUAGGUGAGGAUGGUAAUCAACAAUGGAGCUGAGACACGGACCAGAAUGGUACGGAGAGGAGGAGAGGGGAACAUUGGACAAGGGGGGAAAGUCUGAUCAAGCAAUGCCGGGUGAGUGAGGAAGGCCUUAGGGUUGUAAAGCUGUUUUACACGAGAUGAGAAUGACAGUACCGGGAGAAUAAGCACCGGCUAACUCCGUG